RNAcentral lists this ribosomal RNA (253 nucleotides) under uncultured bacterium. RNAcentral describes it as "partial 16S ribosomal RNA". It matches the Rfam family "Bacterial small subunit ribosomal RNA", at positions 524 to 776 of the family's 1533-position model. The record is from RNAcentral.
UACGUAGGGUGCGAGCGUUAAUCGGAAUUACUGGGCGUAAAGCGUGCGCAGGCGGUUUUGUAAGCCAGAUGUGAAAGCCCCGGGCUCAACCUGGGAAUGGCAUUCGGGACUGCAAGGCUUGAGUGCGGCAGAGGAGACUGGAAUUCCUGGUGUAGCAGUGAAAUGCGUAGAUAUCAGGAGGAACACCAGUGGCGAAGGCGGUGCUCUGGGCCGGAACUGACGCUGAGGAGCGAAAGCGUGGGGAGCAAACAGG